UAUAAAGUCUGACCUGCUCACUGACGUUGUUAAAUGGCCGCAGUAWUUUAACUGUGCAAAGGUAGCAUAAUCAUUAGUCUUUUAAUUGAGGGCUUGUAUGAAUGGUUGGACGAGAUAUURRCUGUYUCAUAUCAAGUUAAUAGAAUUUUAUUUUUUAGUCAAAAAGCUAAAAUUAUAAUAAAAGACGAGAAGACCCUAUGGAUCUUUAUAUUGRUAUKAUURUUAUAAUURUUUAGAUUAUUUUAAUURUAAUAUWUUUCAGUAUUUUGUUGGGGUGACAUUAAGAUUUGAUUAACUCUUAAUAUAAAUUUACAYARRUUAGUGAAUAUAUUGUGAUCCAAUUUUAUUGAUUGAAAAAUUAAGUUACCCUAGGGAUAACAGCGUAAUUUUUCUAGAGAGCUCAUAUCGAUAGGAAAGAUUGCGACCUCGAUGUUGGAUUAAGGUUAAUGGUGGGCGCAGAAGUUCAUAUUAUUAAGUCUGUUCGACUUUUAAUUUCUUACAUGAUCUGAGUUCAAACCGGCGUAAGCCAGGUUGGUUUCUAUCUUUAUUGAAAUAAAAURYUUUAGUACGAAAGGACCRGRUAUUUAGUUUAUUAAAAYUUGUUAAAUUGARUUUGAUUAAAUU
RNAcentral lists this ribosomal RNA (624 nucleotides) under Anthrax maculatus. Its description in RNAcentral is "partial 16S ribosomal RNA". It matches the Rfam family "Bacterial large subunit ribosomal RNA", at positions 1844 to 2757 of the family's 2925-position model. The record is from RNAcentral. Lineage: Eukaryota; Metazoa; Arthropoda; Insecta; Diptera; Bombyliidae.